Protopterus annectens (West African lungfish) is the source of this 208-nucleotide small nucleolar RNA. RefSeq annotates it as small nucleolar RNA U3. The transcript has a single exon. The record is from RefSeq and is a predicted model, not a curated record. NCBI's taxonomy places the organism in Eukaryota, Metazoa, Chordata, Ceratodontiformes, Protopteridae.
AAGCCUAUACUCUCAGGGAUCAUUUCUAUAGCUUGUUGCUAGACAGAUGCUUUUGAAAAUGCUUGGUCUUACCACAGGGAAGAGGUAGAAUGCUUUCUUAGAAUGAAACAGGUAGUUGACUGUACUUGUGUAUUUUUGUACUAUUGAUGACUGCAUGUGCUAGCCUGUUCAGGAUUUAGCAUCGUGAAAAAAGCAUAAUCUGAGUGGU